This is a long non-coding RNA of Esox lucius (northern pike), 478 nucleotides long. RefSeq lists it as uncharacterized. The transcript has 3 exons. NCBI's taxonomy places the organism in Eukaryota, Metazoa, Chordata, Actinopteri, Esociformes, Esocidae. The record is from RefSeq and is a predicted model, not a curated record.
UGGGGGUUGACUUGACCUGAGUGCUUGACCGGCAUUUGUUUUCAAUAUAUCGUUGGAUAGUAGCCUAGGCAUUCAUGUCGUGAAUCUUGUGUACUUGGCACUAGAUUGACGACCACAGCCUAAAAAGUUGUUAGUGGGCUACACAUCCGUUAGUACAAUGGAUGUAAGGAAAUGUUAAUAUCCUUGCGUCCCGCACCCCAGUCUAACUCCAAAAACCCAUCAAACGAGAAUGCUCCCCAAACCACCUGUGUUGCGUGAACCCACCUGAUGUGUUUGUAGCAUGAUGAGUGAGAAAGCAGUCACCCACUGCCAUAAAAGGACAACUUGGCAGAAUGUGAAGGUGGACUCCAGUCACUUUGCAGAGACAUCUCAGGGUUGAACAAAGGAUCGAAGGACACAGGAUGCAUCUCAGCUCAACUUUGAGUGUCAUGGCAAAUGGUCUGAAUACUUACAUAUAUUACUUCAGAUUUAAGUUUCA